This 1664-nucleotide ribosomal RNA is filed under the name Escherichia coli. Its description in RNAcentral is "partial 23S ribosomal RNA". It matches the Rfam family "Bacterial large subunit ribosomal RNA", at positions 1273 to 2915 of the family's 2925-position model. The record is from RNAcentral. Lineage: Bacteria; Pseudomonadati; Pseudomonadota; Gammaproteobacteria; Enterobacterales; Enterobacteriaceae.
CUGGAGGUAUCAGAAGUGCGAAUGCUGACAUAAGUAACGAUAAAGCGGGUGAAAAGCCCGCUCGCCGGAAGACCAAGGGUUCCUGUCCAACGUUAAUCGGGGCAGGGUGAGUCGACCCCUAAGGCGAGGCCGAAAGGCGUAGUCGAUGGGAAACAGGUUAAUAUUCCUGUACUUGGUGUUACUGCGAAGGGGGGACGGAGAAGGCUAUGUUGGCCGGGCGACGGUUGUCCCGGUUUAAGCGUGUAGGCUGGUUUUCCAGGCAAAUCCGGAAAAUCAAGGCUGAGGCGUGAUGACGAGGCACUACGGUGCUGAAGCAACAAAUGCCCUGCUUCCAGGAAAAGCCUCUAAGCAUCAGGUAACAUCAAAUCGUACCCCAAACCGACACAGGUGGUCAGGUAGAGAAUACCAAGGCGCUUGAGAGAACUCGGGUGAAGGAACUAGGCAAAAUGGUGCCGUAACUUCGGGAGAAGGCACGCUGAUAUGUAGGUGAAGCGACUUGCUCGUGGAGCUGAAAUCAGUCGAAGAUACCAGCUGGCUGCAACUGUUUAUUAAAAACACAGCACUGUGCAAACACGAAAGUGGACGUAUACGGUGUGACGCCUGCCCGGUGCCGGAAGGUUAAUUGAUGGGGUUAGCCGCAAGGCGAAGCUCUUGAUCGAAGCCCCGGUAAACGGCGGCCGUAACUAUAACGGUCCUAAGGUAGCGAAAUUCCUUGUCGGGUAAGUUCCGACCUGCACGAAUGGCGUAAUGAUGGCCAGGCUGUCUCCACCCGAGACUCAGUGAAAUUGAACUCGCUGUGAAGAUGCAGUGUACCCGCGGCAAGACGGAAAGACCCCGUGAACCUUUACUAUAGCUUGACACUGAACAUUGAGCCUUGAUGUGUAGGAUAGGUGGGAGGCUUUGAAGUGUGGACGCCAGUCUGCAUGGAGCCGACCUUGAAAUACCACCCUUUAAUGUUUGAUGUUCUAACGUUGACCCGUAAUCCGGGUUGCGGACAGUGUCUGGUGGGUAGUUUGACUGGGGCGGUCUCCUCCUAAAGAGUAACGGAGGAGCACGAAGGUUGGCUAAUCCUGGUCGGACAUCAGGAGGUUAGUGCAAUGGCAUAAGCCAGCUUGACUGCGAGCGUGACGGCGCGAGCAGGUGCGAAAGCAGGUCAUAGUGAUCCGGUGGUUCUGAAUGGAAGGGCCAUCGCUCAACGGAUAAAAGGUACUCCGGGGAUAACAGGCUGAUACCGCCCAAGAGUUCAUAUCGACGGCGGUGUUUGGCACCUCGAUGUCGGCUCAUCACAUCCUGGGGCUGAAGUAGGUCCCAAGGGUAUGGCUGUUCGCCAUUUAAAGUGGUACGCGAGCUGGGUUUAGAACGUCGUGAGACAGUUCGGUCCCUAUCUGCCGUGGGCGCUGGAGAACUGAGGGGGGCUGCUCCUAGUACGAGAGGACCGGAGUGGACGCAUCACUGGUGUUCGGGUUGUCAUGCCAAUGGCACUGCCCGGUAGCUAAAUGCGGAAGAGAUAAGUGCUGAAAGCAUCUAAGCACGAAACUUGCCCCGAGAUGAGUUCUCCCUGACUCCUUGAGAGUCCUGAAGGAACGUUGAAGACGACGACGUUGAUAGGCCGGGUGUGUAAGCGCAGCGAUGCGUUGAGCUAACCGGUACUAAUGAACCGUGAG